GAUGAACGCUAGCGGGAGGCCUACUACAUGCAAGCCGAGCGGUAUUGUUUCUUCGGAAAUGAGAGAGCGGCGUACGGGUGCGGAACACGUGUGCAACCUACCUUUAUCUGGAGGAUAGCCUUUCAAAAGGAAAAUUAAUACUCCAUAAUAUAUUGAAUGGCAUCAUUUGGUAUUGAAAGCUCCGGCGGAUAGAGAUGGGCACGCGCAAAAUUAGCUAGUUGGUGAGGUAACGGCUCACCAAGGCGAUGAUCUUUAGGGGGCCUGAGAGGGUGAUCCCCCACACUGGUACUGAGACACGGACCAAACUCCUACGGGAGGCAGCAGUGAGGAAUAUUGGACAAUGGGUGCAAGCCUGAUCCAGCCAUCCCGCGUGAAGGACGACGGCCCUAUGGGUUGUAAACUUCUUUUGUAUAGGGAUAAACCUACCCUCGUGAGGGUAGCUGAAGGUACUAUACAAAUAAGCACCGGCUAACUCCGUG
RNAcentral lists this ribosomal RNA (479 nucleotides) under uncultured bacterium. Its description in RNAcentral is "bacterial SSU rRNA". It matches the Rfam family "Bacterial small subunit ribosomal RNA", at positions 28 to 507 of the family's 1533-position model. The record is from RNAcentral.